This is a long non-coding RNA of Ictalurus punctatus (channel catfish), 4865 nucleotides long. The record is from Ensembl. Lineage: Eukaryota; Metazoa; Chordata; Actinopteri; Siluriformes; Ictaluridae.
GUUCACCUCACAAUCCCUCGUUCAUAUUCUCACAACCGAAUUCAUACUUCUUUACUAGUGUGAUGGCCUGUGCCCCUGGACACACUCGCGUCACGCGAGUGUAAACUCUGUGAACACCUGCUCAACACGUGCACAGGAUUGUAUACCGAUAAAAACGCCGGUGGUAAAUUCACCCGUUUCAAACUAAUUCAAAUCCACUCCCCAUUUCAGGCACUCUGAUGUACGUUUUAAGCAAUAACAGUGUACAACUUUCUCAUUAUUAUUAUUAUUAUUGUUUAAAACAUGAAGCAGGCGUGCGCAAUACAAUGUUAAAAUGUCUGCGUGGUUUUACACGGCUGUAAUAUUCCGUGACGCUAACAACUGUUAUUAAUCGUUAUGCCACGGAAUGGUUGAAUUCUUCUCAUAUUUGGUUGGACAGAAGGUACGCAUGAUUUAUUUUUUUUUUUAUUACCACAAGUACAGGUUCGUAUUAAUGCGCUCGUUCUAAUACGUUAGUGUUUCUAUAGCGACAGCUCGUGCACGGGGAUCGUAUAGUGGACACGCCACAUAAUCAAAGAUGAAUAAUAAAUGAAUUUGAUAAAAUGUGUGAUAGUUUAACAACGAAAUUCAUCUAAUGAGUCAGCACGUUUACAUGGGCAACAAUAAUCCGAUAUGAACCCGAUUAAGACGAUACUCUGAUUAAGAAGCUACCAUGUAAACAGCGAUUAUUGAUGACCUUAAUCCGACUAAAGUCAUACUCGAAGUAAACACAAAUGGAAUUAAGACGUGUGGAGUAUUCCUGUUUUAGUCGCGUUAUUGAGGUGUAUUACAGACACGUACACACCUUAAUCACACUGUUAACAUCGUGUAGAGUUUUCACCACAUUGUGUGACAGGACACGUACACACACGGCAGCGCUCAACCGUUUAACGGUAAACAAGAGAGCACGGCUGCGUCCCAAACCCCGUACUUACCUACUAUAUAGUAGGUAAGUACACGUAUCUCGGCUACUAUAUAGUAGGUAAGUACGCGGUUUGGGACGCAGCCCACAGCUUCAAGCAGUCGUCUAUUUGCACGUACAGCAUGACAAAUAAUUAACCGCACUUGAAGCGUCCGUAGAAUUUAAAAUGAAACACCCGAAACUGUAUACGGGACCAUAACGAAGACCGACUGUAUGUGGACGUGAAAUUCUGGAGGGAACGGUGUGGCGUGGGGACGUAAUGACGUGUGAUUUUAAUCGCUCCAUGAUCUAUAGCAUGUAAAACCUGAACAUGGAAGGAGUAUUCUAAACGCGACUCAUGUAAACACCUUAAUCACAAUAUAGUCUUACUCAGAGUAAGGUCAGUAAUUAGAUCACCGCUGUCCAUGUAAACAGAGCGUCGGGUGUCGGAGCUUCGUAACAGUCACAGUGCUUUCUGUAGUUUCUCAUCACAGGAAAGUCUUCCGGAGAGUGGAUUUUCCACUUUCCACUUAGUUUUGUAAAAUGCCAUCCUUUUUUAAAAAUUUUUUUUAGUCCUAUUAACUCUGUCCAUACAGGAUUUCACAGAGUUUAUUAAUAUUUUUUUGUGAUCGUUGCAGCCAAAAAUGCUUGAUUUUGCUGCGGGUUUUUUCAAAAUUUGUGAUACAGUUUGCAGAGUUUUUGUGCUUUUUUUUUGUGUGGAAAACUAUUGAAUUGCACGAAAUUGCCUUUCACAGUGAUGGUUAUUGGGUAAAUGAGACCUUUUAGCUGUAAUAAUGUUCAAUGCAUGUGACUUGAAAAGGGUUCUGGCUGAAUGCGCGUUGUGAUGACGUCGCACCUUCACCCAAAUCUGCAGAAAAUCUGUUGUAAUUUUGAAAAAUUGCAAGCUCCUAAAAAUAUUAUGGAGUUUCCUUGGGUUUGUGUAAAUUUCAGCGAUCGCAAAAUCCCGGCGUGACCGAUGAACUGUUUAUUGUUGUUGUUGUUGUUGUUGUUGUUGUUGUUAUUGCUGCGUUUGACUAGCUUUGGGAGUGGGAGGCUGGAACUGGGAAUGACGUCAUUUUGGACGAGUUCCUGAGAAGGAGUUCUUGUCUCAUUAACUAUAAACUGCUGAAAACCUGACGUGUUGUUGUUUUUUAAGAAAUGAAACAUUGUCCACGGCGACACAUCAGUAUUUAUGUAUGCAUAAUAUGACCUGAAGCGUAGCAUACAAUCCCGGAGUGCAUCACGCCAUCCCGGAGUAUAAUAUUUUCAUAUAAUGGCGGAGUCCAUUGUGUGCUAUUGCUUACAUAAGUGCUAAAUUGACCAUGCAACUGUAAGUGUAUGUAUGUAACAUGUAUGACGGUUUCAUUUGAAUAUGUAUUUUUCCCUCUGUGAUGUGCCAAGGAUGCGCCGUCACCUUGUUUUGAACUCAUCUUUUGUGACUAUAAUUGCAGGAAGAAAAUUCGAGUCUGUUGGCAUGACUGUCCCGACUGACGUUAACACGUACUCACUUGGAAAAAACAAAAACCCCUAAGCUCUGAGGAGAAUCCACUAGUUUGGUAUGGAAAUCCGUCUGCAUGCCAGUGUAGACUCCCUGUCCACUUUAAGAGGAACACGUGUACACCUGCUCAUUCGUGCAGUUAUCUAAUCAGCCAAUCAUGCAGCAGCAGCACAGUGUGGAGAAUCAAACAGAACAAGCACUUCAGGUAAUGUUCACGAUGGGGAAAAUUUAACCGUGGCAUGGUGGGUUUUUUUUCUUUUUUUUUUUUCUUUUUCUUGCCAGGGCUGGUAUGAGUAUUUCAGGUAUUUCUCUAGGGUCUACACAGAAUGGUGCAAAAAACAAAAAGCACAGAGCGAGCGACAGUUCUGUGGGUGGAAACGCCUGGUUGAUGAGAGAGGUCGGAGAAAAAUGACCAGACUGGUUCAAGCUGCCUGGAAGGAUAUAAUGACUCAUAUAGUCACUCUUUACAACCAUGGUGAUCGGAAAAGCAUCUCAGCAUGCACAAAACACUGCGUUCCUCUCCUAUCAGCCAAGAACAGGAACCUGAGGCUAUCAGGAGUGGAACCUGAUGUGGUCUUGUGCUGUUGUAGCUCAUCCACCUCACGGUUUGGUGUGUUCUGAGAUGCUUUUCUGUUCACCGUGGUUGCAAAGAGUGCUUAUUUGAGUUACUCUAGAAUUCCCGUCAACUCGGACCAUUCUCUCUCAUCAUCAGGGUGUUUCUUCCUGCAGACGCUCCACUCGCCGGAGACUGCUGUAUGGGAAAAUCCCAGGAGAUCAGCAGUUUCUGAAAUACUCAAACCAGCCCAUCUGGCAACCAGAGAACCAUGCCGUGGAUAAAGUCACAGAGAUCACAUUUUUUUCUUCGUUUUGAUGUUUGACGUGAACAUUUAAGUGAAACUCUCGACCUGUAUUUCUGAAAUUUUUGCUACCGAGCAAAAAAAACAAAACUCCACUCCACUCUUUAGAUCACAUGUGAGAAAUAUAAUGCUGUAAGAUUUUGUGUAAAUAGCCCAACUGGGUCAGUCACGAUUGUUGUUUCCUAGCCCAGAAUAAUUGCAGCUGAAUUUAGCGCCCCCCGUCCGUCCUAACCAUCGUUCGAGCGCUAGGUCUGAGAUUAAGGAUGAGUAGUAAUGUAGUUUAUCCGAUGCUGCGGUGAAUCUCAUCUCGAGCGUGUCUCUUUCUAAAAAAGAAGGGAAGGAGAGAAUAAAAAGACCUUGCAGAAUUUGUGUAUUCUAUUUUAAAAAGUACAUUAUGUCUGAGAAGUCAGGCUGCAUGGUGUAACCGGAGCCAGGACUUUCUGCUGAAGCGAAGGGCGGGAGCGUAGAACGAAACAGUCGAAAAUAGGCACAGUCGAGCAAAGUGUAGGAGGAGAGGGUUAGCAGUCGCACUGCUGGGAGAGACAGUCUUUCUUUAUCUCUCUCUGUGUUUCUCUCUCUAUCUAUCUAUGUCUCUGUAUCUCUCUCUAUAUAUCUAUCUCUGUGUAUCUCUAUCUAUCUCUUGCACACAGUAUGGCGUGGAGUGCAGCAGUAAUGGCAAGUGUGUAAUUUUACACGUGACUAACACGGGAAGUGGAAAUACAUGUGUAACUGUACAUCAUAUUGUCAGUGUAUUCCUUCCUUCCCUCCCUCCGAGGAGAAUACACGAGAUCACGUUAUACUCUGCAGCUAUCAUUAUUGGAAGUUGUGUGAUGUUUGAUCAGGAAUUUAAUUCGUAAUUCUGCCAAACGCCCAUUCUAACUAGGGAUGAGUGAUAUCUUAUCGUUUGCGAUAUACCGGUAGAAAUUCUCCCUGCAGUAAGAAUUAGUCUACGCACGAUAAUAACGAUGAAGCCCAGUCGAUGAGGUAUUGGUGUGCGAGACCCGUUCGCAGCUCACGUGCAGAGCGAACAGGAGUAUGGCGGAAGGUGGACGUGAAGCCGAGGAGGAGUUUAUCGAUAAACGAGGCGCUACCUCUACAAUGUGGAACUGGUUUAGUUACAGAAAAUCACUUUAACUUUUAGAUCAAUGUUGGUGUUUCUGAGACUCCUAAGACUGCAUGCAGCUUUCACUUGUAGCCAAAACAGUGGUGAACGAUGCGAUAUUUAUAUCGUCACCGAUAUCGUUACCGCAAUAAAUACCAGAAAAUAUACUGAUAUAGUUUUAAGUCCAUAUCGCACGUCCCUACUUUUAACUAGUAACUUAAUGUUUCGUUCUCGCACUGUGCUCCCCCUGAUCGUCCCAAUGCGUUUCUGUGGGUGUUUUGAUGAAUCAUGGCGUUCCCACGAUCAAACAUAAACUUAAAAUAAUACCGGCCAGACUUUAACCAUGACACAUCAAUGGUGUGUGUUUAUAUUAUGCAAGGUCUAUGGCAGUUAGAGUGUGUUGCAAUAUAACUUCACAUCGUAUGCUAUUUUAUCUUGUACAGACCUGCUGUGUUUUCUUUGAGGAUAGUGGCAGUGCAUUCGGAAUGA